This 464-nucleotide ribosomal RNA is filed under the name uncultured bacterium. RNAcentral's name for it is "bacterial SSU rRNA". It matches the Rfam family "Bacterial small subunit ribosomal RNA", at positions 338 to 795 of the family's 1533-position model. The record is from RNAcentral.
CCUACGGGGCGCACCAGUAGGGAAUCUUCGGCAAUGGGCGAAAGUCUGACCGAGCAACGCCGCGUGAGUGAAGAAGGUUUUCGGUUCGUAAAACUCUGUUGUUAGAGAAGAACAAGUAGGAGAGUAACUGCUCUUACCUUGACGGUAUCUAACCAGAAAGCCACGGCUAACUACGUGCCAGCAGCCGCGGUAAUACGUAGGUGGCAAGCGUUGUCCGGAUUUAUUGGGCGUAAAGCGAGCGCAGGCGGUCUUUUAAGUCUGAUGUGAAAGCCCUGGGCUCAACCGAGGAAGGUCAUUGGAAACUGGAGGACCUGAGUGCAGAAGAGGAGAGUGGAAUUCCAUGUGUAGCGGUGAAUGCGUAGAUAUAUGGAGGAACACCAGUGGCGAAGGCGACUCUCUGGUCUGUAACUGACGCUGAGGCUCGAAAGCGUGGGGAGCAAACAGGAUUAGAUACCCGCGUAGUC